RNAcentral lists this transfer RNA (76 nucleotides) under uncultured bacterium. RNAcentral describes it as "tRNA-Ala". It matches the Rfam family "tRNA". Rfam says of the family: Transfer RNA (tRNA) molecules are approximately 80 nucleotides in length. The record is from RNAcentral.
GGGGCCGUAGCUCAGCUGGGAGAGCGCUCGCCUUGCAAGCGAGAGGUCGCGGGUUCGAUCCCCGCCGGCUCCACCA